GACGAACGCUGGCGGCGUGCUUAACACAUGCAAGUCGAACGAUGAAGCCCAGCUUGCUGGGCGGAUUAGUGGCGAACGGGUGAGUAAUACGUGAGUAACCUGCCUUUAACUCUGGGAUAAGCCUUGGAAACGGGGUCUAAUACCGGAUACGACCAACCCUCGCAUGAGGUGUUGGUGGAAAGGGAUUUUGUACUGGUUUUAGAUGGGCUCACGGCCUAUCAGCUUGUUGGUGAGGUAACGGCUCACCAAGGCGACGACGGGUAGCCGGCCUGAGAGGGUGACCGGCCACACUGGGACUGAGACACGGCCCAGACUCCUACGGGAGGCAGCAGUGGGGAAUAUUGCACAAUGGGCGCAAGCCUGAUGCAGCGACGCCGCGUGAGGGAUGACGGCCUUCGGGUUGUAAACCUCUUUCAGCAGGGGAGAAGCGAAAGUGACGGUACCUGCAGAAGAAGCGCCGGCUAACUACGUGCCAGCAGCCGCGGUAAUACGUAGGGCGCGAGCGUUGUCCGGAAUUAUUGGGCGUAAAGAGCUUGUAGGCGGUUUGUCGCGUCUGCUGUGAAAGCCCGGGGCUUAACCCCGGGUUUGCAGUGGGUACGGGCAGACUAGAGUGCAGUAGGGGAGACUGGAAUUCCUGGUGUUGCGGUGAAAUGCGCAGAUAUCAGGAGGAACACCAAUGGCGAAGGCAGGUCUCUGGGCUGUAACUGACGCUGAGAAGCGAAAGCAUGGGGAGCGAACAGGAUUAGAUACCCUGGUAGUCCAUGCCGUAAACGUUGGGCACUAGGUGUGGGGAACAUUCCACGUUUUCCGCGCCGUAGCUAACGCAUUAAGUGCCCCGCCUGGGGAGUACGGCCGCAAGGCUAAAACUCAAAGAGAUUGACGGGGGCCCGCACAAGCGGCGGAGCAUGCGGAUUAAUUCGAUGCAACGCGAAGAACCUUACCAAGGCUUGACAUAUACUAGACCGCCUCAGAGAUGGGGUUUCCCUUCGGGGCUGGUAUACAGGUGGUGCAUGGUUGUCGUCAGCUCGUGUCGUGAGAUGUUGGGUUAAGUCCCGCAACGAGCGCAACCCUCGUUCUAUGUUGCCAGCACGUAAUGGUGGGGACUCAUAGGAGACUGCCGGGGUUAACUCGGAGGAAGGUGGGGAUGACGUCAAAUCAUCAUGCCCCUUAUGUCUUGGGCUUCACGCAUGCUACAAUGGCCGGUACAAAGGGUUGCGAUACUGUGAGGUUGAGCUAAUCCCAAAAAGCCGGUCUCAGUUCGGAUUGGGGUCUGCAACUCGACCCCAUGAAGUCGGAGUCGCUAGUAAUCGCAGAUCAGCAACGCUGCGGUGAAUACGUUCCCGGGCCU
RNAcentral lists this ribosomal RNA (1348 nucleotides) under uncultured bacterium. RNAcentral describes it as "bacterial SSU rRNA". It matches the Rfam family "Bacterial small subunit ribosomal RNA", at positions 28 to 1381 of the family's 1533-position model. The record is from RNAcentral.